UAGGGAAUCUUCGGCAAUGGACGAAAGUCUGACCGAGCAACGCCGCGUGAGUGAAGAAGGCUUUCGGAUCGUAAAACUCUGUCGUUAGGGAAGAAAAAGGACGUUGUAAACUAAAGGUCCCCUGACGGUACCUACCAAAAAAGCACCGGCUAACUACGUGCCAGCAGCCGCGGUAAUACGUAGGUGGCAAGCGUUGUCCGGAUUUAUUGGGCGUAAAGCGAGCGCAGGCGGUUGCUUAAGUCUGAUGUGAAAGCCCCCGGCUCAACCGGGGAGGGUCAUUGGAAACUGGGAGACUUGAGUGCAGAAGAGGGGAGUGGAAUUCCAUGUGUAGCGGUGAAAUGCGUAGAUAUAUGGAGGAACACCAGUGGCGAAGGCGGCUCUCUGGUCUGUAACUGACGCUGAGGCUCGAAAGCGUGGGGAGCAAACAGG
RNAcentral lists this ribosomal RNA (429 nucleotides) under Gemmatimonadota bacterium. Its description in RNAcentral is "Gemmatimonadetes bacterium partial 16S ribosomal RNA". It matches the Rfam family "Bacterial small subunit ribosomal RNA", at positions 355 to 776 of the family's 1533-position model. Lineage: Bacteria; Pseudomonadati; Gemmatimonadota. The record is from RNAcentral.